GGGGGGGGGGGGGGGGGGGGGGGGGGGGGGGGGGGGGGGGGGGGGGGGGGGGGGGGGGGGGGGGGGGGGGGGGGGGGGGGGGGGGGCGCAGCCGCCAUUGGCUGAGGGCCCAGCCCCGCCCAGCGCACUGGCCAAUGACAUCGCUCAGCGACACGUGGCUCCAAGGGAUUGGCUGGGCUCCCCUUGUGUGAGCUCGAAUUCAGCCAAUCACUUCCACACCGGGGACUCGGUGACUCCCAUUCUCAGAUGAGCUGGGCUGCUCCGGCUUCACCUGCUCUACCUGCGGCUGUCCUUGGGCAUCCCUAGCCAUGGCUAUCUCCAGGCUGAUCAUUCACAAAUCUCCAUACUCUGCUCUCCCCCUGCAGCUGUGCUCCAGAUCCCUCUGCUCCCAGCACUGCUUUGAUGGUCCAACGGUUCUCCCCAGCUGUCCCGUCUUCAGCGGCCGUGGGAGGGGUUUCAGGACCGGAGGCUAUGGGAGCUCCCUAGCUGCUUGGUUUCGGCUUUCAGGCUCCACCAGCGGGAGAAGGAGCAGGCAGUCGCAGCUGCACUAGUUUCAACAGGUACGGCAUUUCCAUUUUGCCAACCACAUUGCUAACAGCCACCAAAGUGCCAGCCCAUGCUGAAGAAUUCAUUUUCUGCCUCAGUUUCCUGACAAGCCAUGCUGAGAAAACCUCACGUCUUUUCCUACAAGUUUCAAGAUGCUUCAAAAAUUCUUUUUUACACUAAGGACUCAAAAAAAAAAAUAGCUUGCAUUUAAAAAAUUGUUUUAUUUUGUGCUUUUUAGUAACCUCAACAAUUUAAUUUUAAAAAAGCCUUCUUAAUUAAUAAAGAAAAGGGGAGUUGUGAAGGACCCCCAAAGGAAUUCCUAACUAAGGAAUGCAACCCCUGUUUUGUUCCCUAAGGCAACCCCGUGUUCUCUCCCAGCCUUUGGUCACUCCCACCCUAAUUCCCUGUUGGCCAUUUGUUUUGGCCCUGCCCUUAAGUUACCUCCGUGUUUUCUAAUAAUUGGUUCCUAAGGAUUUCCCCGCCUGCUCAUCCCAUGUACUAAACCUGUACCCUGAUAAGCCUUGGUGCCUUUGUUCUCCCGAACCCUGGACAAUGCGCGCGUGGCUGAAAUAAACAUCUUUGUAACACCCUGCAAAGGCCUCCUGCUGAUUUCCCCCCAAGGGACACCUAAAUUGCAACACCCAAACCUGUAAACCUAACCCUAACCCUAACCCUAACCCAAAACCCUAACCCUAACCCUAGCCAUAACCCUAACCCCAACACUAGCCCUAGCCCUAACCAUAACCCUAACCCCAACACUAGCCCUAGCCCUAACCAUAACCCUAACCCCAA
This 1338-nucleotide long non-coding RNA is filed under the name Ficedula albicollis (Collared flycatcher). RNAcentral's name for it is "lncRNA (ENSFALG00000024308.1)". The record is from RNAcentral. Lineage: Eukaryota; Metazoa; Chordata; Aves; Passeriformes; Muscicapidae.